RNAcentral lists this ribosomal RNA (322 nucleotides) under Cercomonas sp. RNAcentral describes it as "SSU rRNA". The stretch from base 105 to 322 matches the Rfam family "Eukaryotic small subunit ribosomal RNA", at positions 737 to 955 of the family's 1831-position model. Lineage: Eukaryota; Cercozoa; Cercomonadida; Cercomonadidae. The record is from RNAcentral.
GAUUUCUGGUUUGGGUGCAUUUGGCCCGCUUCGGUUACGGAGUUGAGUGCCGUUUUGCACCCGCCAUCCUUCUAGGGUACGACUCUCCCUUCACUGGGUUGGGCCGGAACCUAGAUCAUUUACUUUGAAAAAAUUAGAGUGUUUCAAGCAGGCUUUAUGCUAUGAAUACAUUAGCAUGGAAUAAUAAUUUAGGACUUCGGUUCUAUUUUGUUGGUUUCUAGGACUGAAGUAAUGAUUGAUAGGGAUAGUUGGGGGUGCUAGUAUUCAGCGGCCAGAGGUGAAAUUCUCGGAUUCGCUGAAGACUAACUUAUGCGAAAGCAUU